This 510-nucleotide ribosomal RNA is filed under the name uncultured bacterium. RNAcentral's name for it is "partial 16S ribosomal RNA". It matches the Rfam family "Bacterial small subunit ribosomal RNA", at positions 28 to 507 of the family's 1533-position model. The record is from RNAcentral.
GACGAACGCUGGCGGCGUGCUUAACACAUGCAAGUCGAACGAAGAGCGACGGAAGCUUGCUUCUAUCAAUCUUAGUGGCGAACGGGUGAGUAACGCGUAAUCAACCUGCCCUUCAGAGGGGGACAACAGUUGGAAACGACUGCUAAUACCGCAUACGAUCUAACCUCGGCAUCGAGGAUAGAUGAAAGGUGGCCUCUACAUGUAAGCUAUCACUGAAGGAGGGGAUUGCGUCUGAUUAGCUAGUUGGAGGGGUAACGGCCCACCAAGGCGAUGAUCAGUAGCCGGUCUGAGAGGAUGAACGGCCACAUUGGGACUGAGACACGGCCCAGACUCCUACGGGAGGCAGCAGUGGGGAAUCUUCCGCAAUAGACGAAAGUCUGACGGAGCAACGCCGCGUGAGUGAUGACGGCCUUCGGGUUGUAAAGCUCGGUUAAUCGGGACGAAAGGCCUCCUUGCGAAUAGUGAGAAGGAUUGACGGUACCGGAAUAGAAAGCCACGGCUAACUACGUG